RNAcentral lists this transfer RNA (71 nucleotides) under Arthonia cupressina. Its description in RNAcentral is "tRNA-Met". It matches the Rfam family "tRNA". From Rfam's summary of the family: Transfer RNA (tRNA) molecules are approximately 80 nucleotides in length. Their secondary structure includes four short double-helical elements and three loops (D, anti-codon, and T loops). Further hydrogen bonds mediate the characteristic L-shaped molecular structure. tRNAs have two regions of fundamental functional importance: the anti-codon, which is responsible for specific mRNA codon recognition, and the 3' end, to which the tRNAs corresponding amino acid is attached (by aminoacyl-tRNA synthetases). tRNAs cope with the degeneracy of the genetic code in two manners: having more than one tRNA (with a specific anti-codon) for a particular amino acid; and 'wobble' base-pairing, i.e. permitting non-standard base-pairing at the 3rd anti-codon position. The record is from RNAcentral. Lineage: Eukaryota; Fungi; Ascomycota; Arthoniomycetes; Arthoniales; Arthoniaceae.
UGCGGGUUGAUGUAACGGCAACAUAACUGACUCAUGACCAGUUUUUAAAGGUUCAAAUCCUUUGCCCGCAC